CUUCCCCAAAACCGCCGAUCCACCCUCUCUUCCCCGACCCUUCUUCUCGAUCUCUUCUCCUCUCCACCGAGCCUCUCUCGCGUCGUCGCCGAUCUCCGCGAGCUCACCGCCGGCGGAGGUUUUCCUCUCUGGAGUCUCACCAACGUCAGGGUCCCUGGCUACCGGGCGGCUAGAUCCUCUCCUCCCUCCCCCUCUCAUGUCUCUGCCCUAGAUCACCGACGCACCAGUUCUUGGCGAUCGGCGAUUCUUUCUCCGUCUCUUGGAGUUGCCGGCGAGGAGUGGAUCUUGGAGCUUUGAAGGGGUUAAAGCUAAGUCGAUUCUUUGGUUAGGUCGUAGAUUCCUUCCUUCUUGUUGAUUGAGGGGCAGAGGAAUUUCCAGGAACAUAGAAUCGAAUCUGGCGACACCUCCUGGAGACAAUCGGUUGAGUGAGGACCUGUUCUGUGGAUUUCAAAUUGAAUGCUGUGAGUUCUUUGAUCCAGCAAUUCAUCCUGUUACCGGCAGCAACAAUCCUUGCUGUAGAUCUACAAUCAGGGUAGUGAAUUGAGGUCCUGUUUCUGUGGGAUUUCUAUUGGUUAUGACAGCCACCUCAUCCAGUAGCUCUUCUGGUUCCAGCUAUCAACAACAGUGUGUAGAAUUAGGUUGAGGCCGUCAGGAGAUAUUCCAGUCGCUAGCCCCAUUAUCGCGAGGAUUUUCUUUGUCG
Zingiber officinale is the source of this 700-nucleotide long non-coding RNA. RefSeq lists it as uncharacterized. The record is from RefSeq and is a predicted model, not a curated record. NCBI's taxonomy places the organism in Eukaryota, Viridiplantae, Streptophyta, Magnoliopsida, Zingiberales, Zingiberaceae. The transcript has 4 exons.